AACGAACGCUGGCGGCAGGCCUAACACAUGCAAGUCGAACGCCCCGCAAGGGGAGUGGCAGACGGGUGAGUAACGCGUGGGAACAUACCCUUCGGUUCGGAAUAGCUCAGGGAAACUUGGAUUAAUACCGGAUACGUCCGUAAGGAGAAAGAUUUAUCGCCGAAGGAUUGGCCCGCGUCUGAUUAGCUUGUUGGUGAGGUAAUGGCUCACCAAGGCGACGAUCAGUAGCUGGUCUGAGAGGAUGACCAGCCACAUUGGGACUGAGACACGGCCCAAACUCCUACGGGAGGCAGCAGUGGGGAAUAUUGGACAAUGGGCGAAAGUCUGAUCCAGCCAUGCCGCGUGAGUGAUGAAGGCCUUAGGGUUGUAAAGCUCUUUUACCCGGGAAGGUAAUGACGGUACCGGGAGAAUAAGCCCCGGCUAACUUCGUGCCAGCAGCCGCGGUAAUACGAAGGGGGCUAGCGUUGUUCGGAAUUACUGGGCGUAGAGCGCACGUAGGCGGAUUUUUAAGUCAGGGGUGAAAUCCCGAGGCUCAACCUCGGAACUGCCUUUGAUACUGGGAAUCUUGAGUCCGGGAGAGGUGAGUGGAACUGCGAGUGUAGAGGUGAAAUUCGUAGAUAUUCGCAAGAACACCAGUGGCGAAGGCGGCUCACUGGCCCGGUACUGACGCUGAGGUGCGAAAGCGUGGGGAGCAAACAGGAUUAGAUACCCUGGUAGUCCACGCCGUAAACGAUGGAUGCUAGCCGUUAGACAGCUUGCUGUUUAGUGGCGCAGUUAACGCUUUAGGCAUCCCGCCUGGGGAGUACGGUCGUAAGAUUA
This 819-nucleotide ribosomal RNA is filed under the name uncultured bacterium. RNAcentral describes it as "bacterial SSU rRNA". It matches the Rfam family "Bacterial small subunit ribosomal RNA", at positions 28 to 896 of the family's 1533-position model. The record is from RNAcentral.